RNAcentral lists this ribosomal RNA (484 nucleotides) under uncultured bacterium. Its description in RNAcentral is "partial 16S ribosomal RNA". It matches the Rfam family "Bacterial small subunit ribosomal RNA", at positions 30 to 507 of the family's 1533-position model. The record is from RNAcentral.
AUUGAACGCUGGCGGCAGGCCUAACACAUGCAAGUCGAGCGGAUGAAGGGAGCUUGCUCCUGGAUUCAGCGGCGGACGGGUGAGUAAUGCCUAGGAAUCUGCCUGGUAGUGGGGGAUAACGUCCGGACACGGGCGCUAAUACCGCAUCCGUCCUGAGGGAGAAAGUGGGGGAUCUUCGGACCUCACGCUAUCAGAUGAGCCUAGGUCGGAUUAGCUAGUUGGUGGGGUAAAGGCCUACCAAGGCGACGAUCCGUAACUGGUCUGAGAGGAUGAUCAGUCACACUGGAACUGAGACACGGUCCAGACUCCUACGGGAGGCAGCAGUGGGGAAUAUUGGACAAUGGGCGAAAGCCUGAUCCAGCCAUGCCGCGUGUGUGAAGAAGGUCUUCGGAUUGUAAAGCACUUUUAGUUGGGAGGAAGAGCAGUAAGUUAAUACCUUGCUGUUUUGACGUUACCAACAGAAUAAGCACCGGCUAACUUCGUG